Molecule: long non-coding RNA, 202 nt
Filed under: Hordeum vulgare
Lineage: Eukaryota; Viridiplantae; Streptophyta; Magnoliopsida; Poales; Poaceae
Description: long non-coding RNA (HVUL_LNC018506)
Source: RNAcentral
UGCAGCCCUCUCUCCCUCCACUGCUUCGUGACACCCCAUAGCUAGUUCGGUAUGGCACAGGGAAGUCCUACCAGAGUAGCUCCACCAUCGUCACUGCCACGCUGUCGUGUUACCGAAGAAUUCAGCUACCUCUUCAUCUCUCUUGCUAGAUCAAGAAGGCGGGGAUCGUCAUCAAGAUGUACGUGUGCAGAACGUGGAGGUG